UACGAAGGGUGCAAGCGUUACUCGGAAUUACUGGGCGUAAAGCGUGCGUAGGCGGUUUGUUAAGUCUGUCGUGAAAGCCCCGGGCUCAACCUGGGAAUGGCGAUGGAAACUGGCGAGCUAGAGUACGGUAGAGGAGAGUGGAAUUCCCGGUGUAGCAGUGAAAUGCGUAGAUAUCUGGAGGAACACCGGUGGCGAAGGCGGCAUCCUGGACCAACACUGACGCUGAGGAGCGAAAGCCAGGGGAGCAAACGGG
This 253-nucleotide ribosomal RNA is filed under the name uncultured bacterium. RNAcentral's name for it is "partial 16S ribosomal RNA". It matches the Rfam family "Bacterial small subunit ribosomal RNA", at positions 524 to 776 of the family's 1533-position model. The record is from RNAcentral.